GAUGAACGCUGGCGGCGUACCUAAUACAUGCAAGUCGAACGGGAGACUUGAAUUCGUUCAAGUUGAGAGUGGCGCACGGGUGAGGAGCACAUGGCUGACCUGCCCUUCAGGGGGGGAUAACGGCUGGAAACGGCUGCUAAUACCCCAUACGCUCUUUGGGAUUAGAGGCCCGGAGAGGAAAGCCUUUGGGUACUGAAGGAGGGGGCUGUGGCCCAUCAGCUAGUUGGUGAGGUAACGGCUCACCAAGGCGACGACGGGUCGGGGGCCUGAGAGGGUGACCCCCCACACUGGGACUGAGACACGGCCCAGACUCCUACGGGAGGCAGCAGUAAGGGAUCUUGCGACAAUGGGCGAAAGCCUGACGCAGCAACGCCGCGUGCGGGAUGACGGCCUUCGGGUUGUAAACCGCUUUUCAGGGGGAAGAGGAAGGACGGUACCCCUGGAAUAAGUCUCGGCUAACUACGUGCCAGCAGCCGCGGUAAAACGUAGGAGGCGAGCGUUAUCCGGAUUUACUGGGUGUAAAGCGCGUGCAGGCGGUUCUGCAAGUGGGACGUGAAAGCGCCCGGCUCAACCGGGCGAGGCCGUUCCGAACUGCGGGACUGGAGGCAGGUAGAGGCGUGUGGAAUUCCGGGUGUAGUGGUGAAAUGCGUAGAGAUCCGGAGGAACACCAGUGGCGAAGGCGACACGCUGGGCCUGGCCUGACGCUCAGACGCGAAAGCAUGGGGAGCGAACGGGAUUAGAAACCCCGGUAGUCCAUGCUGUAAACGAUGCUGACUAGGUGUGGCGGGUAUGAACUCCUGCCGUGCCGGAGCCAACGUGGUAAGUCAGCCACCUGGGGACUACGGCCGCAAGGUUA
This 856-nucleotide ribosomal RNA is filed under the name uncultured bacterium. RNAcentral describes it as "bacterial SSU rRNA". It matches the Rfam family "Bacterial small subunit ribosomal RNA", at positions 28 to 896 of the family's 1533-position model. The record is from RNAcentral.